Thamnophis elegans (Western terrestrial garter snake) is the source of this 484-nucleotide long non-coding RNA. RefSeq lists it as uncharacterized. The record is from RefSeq and is a predicted model, not a curated record. The transcript is spliced from 3 exons. NCBI's taxonomy places the organism in Eukaryota, Metazoa, Chordata, Lepidosauria, Squamata, Natricidae.
UGAUGACGUCAGGUACGCGCUUUAAUCGGGCGCGCUUUAGUGGACCGCGGUUUUGACGGGUCACGGAUAAAAGGAGUUCAGGUGCUUCUUAGGGAUUUAGGCUUUUAGACAAAGAAGUGGAGUAUCAGCCUGUGAAACCUAAAAGCUACUUUUGUUUUUCAAGUCUUUAAAAAUCACAGAUUGCUGUCUUCUUCUGUCCAAUGAGAUGACUUAGCAUGCAUUUUGAUGGUGAUGGUGCAACUACUAUUGAGCAUCCUUGCAAUUUUGCUCAUUAAGACUCCUGUUUUGCAAUCACCAGCAAAAUGCAUUCUAAUCUGGGAGGCAACAAUCUGUUAGAGAUUUUAUAGUCCAAAGGAGUAAAGUUUUGCAGUCCUGACCACCUUAAUUUGCAACUAUUGCCUGGGAAAAGCUGCCUAGCUCCUCUUACUGAGAAAGCUAUCUCUAUGAAUUCAGUCUUUCCUGUUACGUGAAGUGUAUAUCAAUG